Molecule: ribosomal RNA, 279 nt
Filed under: uncultured bacterium
Lineage: Bacteria
Description: partial 16S ribosomal RNA
Rfam family: Bacterial small subunit ribosomal RNA
Source: RNAcentral
UGCCAGCAGCCGCGGUAAUACAGAGGGUGCGAGCGUUAAUCGGAAUUACUGGGCGUAAAGAGCACGUAGGCGGUAAAUUAAGUCAGUUGUGAAAUUCCAGGGCUCAACCUUGGAACUGCAAUUGAGACUGGUUUACUAGAGUCGAAGAGAGGGAAGCGGAAUUUCCGGUGUAGCGGUGAAAUGCGUAGAUAUCGGAAGGAACACCCGUGGCGUAGGCGGCUUCCUGGCUUCAGACUGACGCUGAGGUGCGAAAGCGUGGGUAGCGAACAGGAUUAGAUA